UACGAAGGGGGCUAGCGUUGCUCGGAAUGACUGGGCGUAAAGGGCGCGUAGGCGGCUUGCACCGUCAGAUGUGAAAUUCCUGGGCUUAACCUGGGGGCUGCAUUUGAUACGUGUGGGCUUGAGUGCGGAAGAGGGUCGUGGAAUUCCCAGUGUAGUGGUGGAAUGCGUAGAUAUCGGGAGGAACACCAGUGGCGAAGGCGGUUACCUGGAGCUUUGCUGACGCUGAUGCGCGAAAGCGUGGGGAGCGAUCAGG
RNAcentral lists this ribosomal RNA (253 nucleotides) under uncultured bacterium. Its description in RNAcentral is "partial 16S ribosomal RNA". It matches the Rfam family "Bacterial small subunit ribosomal RNA", at positions 524 to 776 of the family's 1533-position model. The record is from RNAcentral.